AUGAGUUAAGUAUAAACCCCUUUACAAGUAUCAAUUGGAGGGCAAGUCUGGUGCCAGCAGCCGCGGUAAUUCCAGCUCCAAUAGCGUAUAUUAAAGUUGUUGCAGUUAAAAAGCUCGUAGUUGGAUUUCUGUUAAUAAUUUUAUAGUAUAUUUAACAUAUAUUGUAUGAUAUUAACAUAAUUCAUAUUACUAUUUUUAGUAUAUGAAAUUUUACUUUGAGAAAAUUAGAGUGCUUAAAGCAGGCAUAUGCCUUGAAUACUCCAGCAUGGAAUAAUAUAAAAGAUUUUUAUCUUUUUUAUAUUGGUUCUAAGAUAAAAAUAAUGAUUAAUAGGAACAGUUGGGGGCAUUUGUACUUAACAGUCAGAGGUGAAAUUCUUAGAUUUGUUAAAGACAAACUAGUGCGAAAGCAUUUGCCAAGGAUGUUUUCAUUAAUCAAGAACGAAAGUUAGGGGAUCGAAGACGAUCAGAUACCGUCGUAGU
This 480-nucleotide ribosomal RNA is filed under the name Cryptosporidium sp. vole genotype IX. Its description in RNAcentral is "SSU rRNA". It matches the Rfam family "Eukaryotic small subunit ribosomal RNA", at positions 514 to 1024 of the family's 1831-position model. Lineage: Eukaryota; Apicomplexa; Conoidasida; Eucoccidiorida; Cryptosporidiidae. The record is from RNAcentral.